GAUGAAGAACGUAGCGAAAUGCGAUACUUGGUGUGAAUUGCAGAAUCCCGUGAACCAUCGAGUCUUUGAACGCAAGUUGCGCCCGAAGCCAUUAGGCCGAGGGCACGCCUGCCUGGGCGUCACACGUCGUUGCCCCCCCAUCUACUCCUUCGGGAUUGCGGGGGGCGGAUGAUGGCCUCCCGUGCGCCUCGUCGCGCGGUUGGCAUAAAUACCAAGUCCUCGGCGACGCACGCCACGACAAUCGGUGGUUGCGAAACCUCGGUUGCCCGUCGUGUGCGGUCGUCGCGCAUCGAGGGCUAGAAAAAAUUGCCGGGCUCCGGCUCGGCUUUCAACGCGACCCCAGGUCAGGCGGGGUUACCCGCUGAAUUUAAGCAUAUCAAUAAGCGGAGGA
Molecule: unclassified non-coding RNA, 391 nt
Filed under: soil metagenome
Description: partial contains 5.8S ribosomal RNA, internal transcribed spacer 2, and large subunit ribosomal RNA
Rfam family: 5.8S ribosomal RNA (bases 1-122)
Source: RNAcentral